UUUGUUAUUUUUUAUUUUUUAUUUAACCAGGAGAAUCCCGUUGAGAUUAAAAACCUCUUUUUCAAGUGAGUCCUGGCCAAGAGGCAGCAAAGUUACAACUUGAUUGAGCACACAG
This is a long non-coding RNA of Salarias fasciatus (jewelled blenny), 115 nucleotides long. RefSeq lists it as uncharacterized. Lineage: Eukaryota; Metazoa; Chordata; Actinopteri; Blenniiformes; Blenniidae. The transcript has 3 exons. The record is from RefSeq and is a predicted model, not a curated record.